UCCGGAGUAGCUCAGCGGUAGAGCAAUCGGCUGUUAACCGAUCGGUCCGGGGUUCGAAUCCCUGCUCCGGAGCCA
Molecule: transfer RNA, 75 nt
Filed under: Hwanghaeella grinnelliae
Lineage: Bacteria; Pseudomonadati; Pseudomonadota; Alphaproteobacteria; Rhodospirillales; Aestuariispiraceae
Description: tRNA-Asn
Rfam family: tRNA
About the family: Transfer RNA (tRNA) molecules are approximately 80 nucleotides in length. Their secondary structure includes four short double-helical elements and three loops (D, anti-codon, and T loops).
Source: RNAcentral